This is a small nucleolar RNA of Tupaia belangeri (northern tree shrew), 139 nucleotides long. The record is from Ensembl. NCBI's taxonomy places the organism in Eukaryota, Metazoa, Chordata, Mammalia, Scandentia, Tupaiidae.
GCAUGGCUGAAUGCUGUCUUCUUUUAUCAGUAGUUUACAGAGUCAGAUAGCAUGUAAAAGUAACAUCUUCCCUCUGAAGUGAUCAUGAUACUGUGCAUUGUUUUUUCAUAGCAUAUCUUUAUUAGAAGUGAAUACAAAU